Molecule: long non-coding RNA, 689 nt
Filed under: Homo sapiens (human)
Lineage: Eukaryota; Metazoa; Chordata; Mammalia; Primates; Hominidae
Description: non-protein coding lnc-ARMCX5-3:1
Source: RNAcentral
GGCCAGUUCUGCAAGAAAGGCAAGGAGGAGGAGACUGGCUCACACCUCUGGAGGUUGGUGAGAAGGGGGAGGGGGCAAUUCAGGGGACAGUUGGAGAAAGAGAGCAUGGCAGGUGGCUUUGAGACCAGUGGGUGCAGACCCACUUCUACUCUGCUGGAUUUGCACAGUGCCAGCAUCCUUUUUAUUUCUUGCAGGGGACAUGAGAUAGGUGUAGGUUGUGUUGUGACUCAGAAAGACCUGAGAGCAGGGACCAGGACACAGGAAACCAUAGAUACAUUGAACCCUUGAAUGGGAAGACAGAUAUUUGUCACAGGAGCCAGAGUGCUUGCCUAUCUACCAUUCUCCAUUCUCUCCUGUAUGUUUACUUGUCUGUAGGACCCCCUUCUGUCAGCUGUGGGGCUUGACACUACUUGAACAAGAAAAGGAGGGGGAAACUGCACCACAUAAGUGAAGAUCCACCUCCAGUGGCUGCUCUGCUGGUGGUGGGGUUGCUGCUGACAACCACCCUCAACGGGUCUGCACCCAUCCAGGAAAUCUCUGUCUUCCUCAAGCUUGGUUGUGCCUGUUCUACACUCUAUCUGUAUUAUUGAAUUACUGACUGAGACUGUGUUUGGGAAGGAGGCUGAGUGACUACUGGACUGGAUAUUGACUCUAACUCUUGUUUCCAAGCUUAUAUCCUCAAUCACCUA